AAUCUGCCCUCAGGAGGGGGACAACAGCUGGAAACGGCUGCUAAUACCCCAUAUGCCGCGAGGUGAAAUGAAUUUCGCCUGAGGAUGAGCUCGCGUCUGAUUAGCUAGUUGGUGUAGGUAAUGGCUCACCAAGGCAUCGAUCAGUAGCUGGUCUGAGAGGAUGAUCAGCCACACUGGGACUGAGACACGGCCCAGACUCCUACGGGAGGCAGCAGUGGGGAAUUUUCCGCAAUGGGCGAGAGCCUGACGGAGCAACGCCGCGUGAGGGAUGAAGGCCUCUGGGCUGUAAACCUCUUUUAUCAAGGAAGAAGAUCUGACGGUACUUGAUGAAUAAGCCACGGCUAAUUCCGUGCCAGCAGCCGCGGUAAUACGGGAGUGGCAAGCGU
Molecule: ribosomal RNA, 386 nt
Filed under: uncultured bacterium
Lineage: Bacteria
Description: bacterial SSU rRNA
Rfam family: Bacterial small subunit ribosomal RNA
Source: RNAcentral